RNAcentral lists this ribosomal RNA (566 nucleotides) under Alternaria arborescens. Its description in RNAcentral is "eukaryotic LSU rRNA". The stretch from base 199 to 352 matches the Rfam family "5.8S ribosomal RNA". Lineage: Eukaryota; Fungi; Ascomycota; Dothideomycetes; Pleosporales; Pleosporaceae. The record is from RNAcentral.
UUUUCCGUAGGUGAACCUGCGGAGGGAUCAUUACACAAAUAUGAAGGCGGGCUGGAACCUCUCGGGGUUACAGCCUUGCUGAAUUAUUCACCCUUGUCUUUUGCGUACUUCUUGUUUCCUUGGUGGGUUCGCCCACCACUAGGACAAACAUAAACCUUUUGUAAUUGCAAUCAGCGUCAGUAACAAAUUAAUAAUUACAACUUUCAACAACGGAUCUCUUGGUUCUGGCAUCGAUGAAGAACGCAGCGAAAUGCGAUAAGUAGUGUGAAUUGCAGAAUUCAGUGAAUCAUCGAAUCUUUGAACGCACAUUGCGCCCUUUGGUAUUCCAAAGGGCAUGCCUGUUCGAGCGUCAUUUGUACCCUCAAGCUUUGCUUGGUGUUGGGCGUCUUGUCUCUAGCUUUGCUGGAGACUCGCCUUAAAGUAAUUGGCAGCCGGCCUACUGGUUUCGGAGCGCAGCACAAGUCGCACUCUCUAUCAGCAAAGGUCUAGCAUCCAUUAAGCCUUUUUUCAACUUUUGACCUCGGAUCAGGUAGGGAUACCCGCUGAACUUAAGCAUAUCAAUAAGC